UGCGUAGGCGGAAUAUUAAGUCAGUGGUGAAAUCCUGCGGCUCAACCGUAGAACUGCCAUUGAUACUGAUAUUCUUGAAUGUAGUUGAGGUAGGCGGAAUGUGUAAUGUAGCGGUGAAAUGCUUAGAUAUUACACAGAACACCGAUUGCGAAGGCAGCUUACUAAACUAUGAUUGACGCUGAGGCACGAAAGCGUGGGGAGCGAACAGGAUUAGAUACCUGGUAGUCC
RNAcentral lists this ribosomal RNA (228 nucleotides) under uncultured bacterium. RNAcentral describes it as "partial 16S ribosomal RNA". It matches the Rfam family "Bacterial small subunit ribosomal RNA", at positions 568 to 796 of the family's 1533-position model. The record is from RNAcentral.